CUCCCUCCGUCCCAAAUUGUAUGUCGCUUUAGGAAAAAAAAAUUGUCCCAAAUUAUAUGUCGCUUUAAAAUACCAAUGCAACAUUAAUGUUACUUUUCCUAUUAUAACCUUAAUUAUUUAUUACUCUCUCUUCUUUCAAUUCUUUCAUUUAUCUUUCCCAUAUUAUUUAUUAAGGACAAUUUUGUAAAACAACUCAUAAUAUCUCUUUUCCACACAAUAUUAAUUGCAUUUCUUAAUAUGUGUGAAAUGCCCAAAACGUCAUACAAUUUGGGACGGAGGGAGU
This 283-nucleotide long non-coding RNA is filed under the name Medicago truncatula (barrel medic). RNAcentral describes it as "long non-coding RNA (MTRU_LNC005977)". Lineage: Eukaryota; Viridiplantae; Streptophyta; Magnoliopsida; Fabales; Fabaceae. The record is from RNAcentral.